CCCUUAGAUGUCCUGGGCUGCACGCGCGCUACACUGAUGUGUCCAGUAAGCACCUAACCUCUUCCGAAAGGAACGGGUAACCUUUGCAAAGCACAUCGUGAUGGGGAUAGAUUAUUGCAAUUAUUAGUCUUGAACGAGGAAUUCCUAGUAAGCACAGUCAUCAGCUUGUGUUGAUUACGUCCCUGCCCUUUGUACACACCGCCCGUCGCUCCUACCGAUUGAAUGUUCCGGUGAGCUCUUCGGACUGCGCGGUCUGCAGUUUCUGCGUUCCGUGCGGAAAGUUGCGCAAACCUUAACAUUUAGAGGAAGGAGAAGUCGUAACA
RNAcentral lists this ribosomal RNA (323 nucleotides) under uncultured eukaryote. Its description in RNAcentral is "partial 18S ribosomal RNA". It matches the Rfam family "Eukaryotic small subunit ribosomal RNA", at positions 1470 to 1796 of the family's 1831-position model. The record is from RNAcentral.